UGCCAGCAGCCGCGGUAAUACGGAGGAUCCAAGCGUUGUCCGGAUUUAUUGGGUUUAAAGGGUGCGUAGGCGGAUUAUUAAGUCAGUGGUGAAAGCCUGCAGCUUAACUGCAGAACUGCCAUUGAAACUGGUAAUCUUGAGUUUGGUCGAGGUAGAUGGAAUGUAUCAUGUAGCGGUGAAAUGCUUAGAUAUGAUACAGAACACCGAUUGCGAAGGCAGUCUACUAGGCCAAUACUGACGCCGAGGCACGAAAGCAUGGGGAUCGAACAGGAUUAGAUA
Molecule: ribosomal RNA, 279 nt
Filed under: uncultured bacterium
Lineage: Bacteria
Description: partial 16S ribosomal RNA
Rfam family: Bacterial small subunit ribosomal RNA
Source: RNAcentral